Molecule: small nucleolar RNA, 128 nt
Organism: Ochotona princeps (American pika)
Lineage: Eukaryota; Metazoa; Chordata; Mammalia; Lagomorpha; Ochotonidae
Source: Ensembl
UCAGCACUUUCACAGGUCCUCCCCGAGGCAGUGGGGCUAGGAUUUGGUAGCUGGUGCUGAGAGAAAACCCUUGGUUGUAUCUUUGCCCUGGACUGUAGCAGUGGCAGUUAACACCCAAUGGUACAGAG